Long non-coding RNA from Armigeres subalbatus, 396 nucleotides. RefSeq lists it as uncharacterized. The transcript is spliced from 3 exons. NCBI's taxonomy places the organism in Eukaryota, Metazoa, Arthropoda, Insecta, Diptera, Culicidae. The record is from RefSeq and is a predicted model, not a curated record.
GCCAUAAAUUUUUGCCCAAUCUUUCCUUGGGCGAGUUUAGUUGUCGCCUCGAAAGGUUGGAAAGAGACGGCAGCAGGUCCAGCGUACCGAGUUAUCCUUCGGAAUUGUGCAAUCACGAAUGUGCACGAAGAAAUUUCGGGAAAUGGCGAAUCUCAGGAUUGUCCGGGAUUCACUUUCCUUAAUCUGAGGGAACAUAGAUUCUGCCAUUUCGUCUGUGAACAGCCAGUGUAUAGGAAGUGUGCGCGUUUGUUAGUUUAUUCGUUUGUCUAAUAAAUUAGUAGUAAAGUGUGCGUAGUCAGGAUUUGUGUGCGAUAGUUAAGAUAAAGCCAACGAUAUAAGCCGUUUGGCUAUUUUCAUUCGCAGCAAUCGGACUCGCACCCAAGCGUGCGAAUUUCC